AUUGAACGCUGGCGGCAUGCCUUACACAUGCAAGUCGAACGGUAACGGGUCCUUCGGGAUGCCGACGAGCGGCGAACGGGUGAGUAAUAUAUCGGAACGUGCCCAGUAGUGGGGGAUAACUGCUCGAAAGAGCAGCUAAUACCGCAUACGACCUGAGGGUGAAAGGGGGGGAUCGCAAGACCUCUCGCUAUUGGAGCGGCCGAUAUCAGAUUAGCUAGUUGGUGGGGUAAAGGCCUACCAAGGCAACGAUCUGUAGUUGGUCUGAGAGGACGACCAGCCACACUGGGACUGAGACACGGCCCAGACUCCUACGGGAGGCAGCAGUGGGGAAGUUUGGACAAUGGGCGCAAGCCUGAUCCAGCAAUGCCGCGUGCAGGAAGAAGGCCUUCGGGUUGUAAACUGCUUUUGUCAGGGAAGAAAUCUUCUGGGCUAAUACCCCGGGAGGAUGACGGUACCUGAAGAAUAAGCACCGGCUAACCACGUGCCAGCCGCCGCGGUAA
RNAcentral lists this ribosomal RNA (500 nucleotides) under uncultured bacterium. Its description in RNAcentral is "partial 16S ribosomal RNA". It matches the Rfam family "Bacterial small subunit ribosomal RNA", at positions 30 to 523 of the family's 1533-position model. The record is from RNAcentral.